UAUCGCCAACCUUUCUCUUAUAAACUGGGGAUAUCGCUGCUUUGAAGGAGUUGUGUGUAUACUAGCGAGAAUACACGUGGUUGAGAAAGCAGCAUAGUUCUAACUAAACGGGGUUUAACGACAGCAAGACAGCCACCACAACUUUCCAAUACAAAUUAUAGUAACAAACAAGUUAGAAGAACUUAACAAGAGGUAACCAUGCCAACGAGAUUCGCCAUAUUUGCUUUAUGUUUAGCUGGUGUUGUACUAUUUGAGGAAGUUUCCUCCAGAUACAUAGAAUGUCCAGAUGGUUGUUAUAUAUCAGUGGGCAGUCAUUGUGUGUGUCCAAUUGGAGGAUCAUAUGACAAGCGCGGCGUUAGGUUACCUUUUAGAUACGGAAAACGAAAUACCAAAUUACCAACAAAAAAUACAUUUAGAGAAGGUAUUCUUAACAAUAUAAACCCAUAUCGACUGUAUGAUUUAGAAGAAGAUAAAUAGAUAUCAGUAUCUCCCACAAGAUCUGAAGACCAACACCAUAACUUACAGACACAUCUUUUGUUAAUACAUUUAUAUCACCCCAUCAUAAUAUGUUUAAAGUGAUAAUUCAUUUAUUAUUAUAAAAUAUAUUAUUAAAUUUUAUGACGAUUCAUCUGUAUUAAGGGAAAACAUGAUUGAUUGUAUAGUUAAAUCAACUUGGAACAAUGUCUUUGAAAAUAUUAAAAUGUACCAUUCUUCUGUAAUUGUCUUCAACUAAUUAGUAUCUAAAGUAAUAUCAGUCAUGAACAUUAUACCAAAACAACUGUUAUUAUAAUUGACAGAUACGUGUAUAUUACUGAAAUGAUUAUCUGACAUUAUCUCCAGUUUCUAUGAAAAGUUUUACCAAGUUCGACAAUAUAUAUUAUUUCGUUCGUGACCCUGUUUUAUAUAAAAGCAUAUAAUUUAAAGUUAAUUCAGAGAUGGAAUCAGAAUUAAAACAGUAAUGUUGGGACCGAAGUUGUUUGGCUCUUUUUUUUAAUAUAUAUUCUAGGUUUAUCUGUUUAUGUUAUAGUAAUACUAAUUUUUCGUUUUGUAUCACAUAGUUUUUGUAGAAUUUUCCCUAAAAUACAUUCGUUUCAUAAUGUAACAACUUAUUUUAAUACUUUAUCAUGUGUUUUAUAACGUACCCUGUCUUAUACAUUCGAGUAUAUCGUUAUUACUAAUAUUAAGAUAUUUUAUGUUAUAAUUCUUGUGUACUUAUUAUAUUCUGUCUUUAAAUUUGAGUAAAUCUGUUUUUAUUAUAUUGCAUGACGUACAACAAAAACGUGAACUUGUUUUGGUUAGGCUAUAUCUUCUUGUGUUUGGUACUCUUGAAAUUUUCCAUUCGGAUUCAUAUCAUAAAAUAAUGAAGAGCUAAAUAUAUAAGUAUAUAUAAAUGUAUAUUCUUUCAACUAUUUCAUAAA
Long non-coding RNA from Patella vulgata (common limpet), 1418 nucleotides. RefSeq lists it as uncharacterized. The transcript has 3 exons. The record is from RefSeq and is a predicted model, not a curated record. Lineage: Eukaryota; Metazoa; Mollusca; Gastropoda; Patellidae.